AUUGAACGCUGGCGGCAGGCCUAACACAUGCAAGUCGAACGAGUGGCGGACGGGUGAGUAAUGUCUGGGAAACUGCCUGAUGGAGGGGGAUAACUACUGGAAACGGUAGAUAAUACCGCAUACCAUCAGAUGUGCCCAGAUGGGAUUAGCGAGUUGGUGGGGUAAAGGCUAACCAAUGCGACGAUCCCUAGCUGGUCUGAGAGGAGUACCAGUCACACUGGAACGUAGACACGGUCCAGACUCUGACGGGAGGCAGCAGUGGGGAAUAUUGCACAAUGGGCGCAAGCCUGAUGCAGCCAUGCCGCGUGUAUGAAGAAGGCCUUCGGGUUGUAAAGUACUUUCAGCGGGGAGGCGUUACCCGCAGAAGAAGCACCGGCUAACUCCGUGCCAGCAGCCGCGGUAAUAC
This 406-nucleotide ribosomal RNA is filed under the name uncultured bacterium. RNAcentral describes it as "partial 16S ribosomal RNA". It matches the Rfam family "Bacterial small subunit ribosomal RNA", at positions 30 to 526 of the family's 1533-position model. The record is from RNAcentral.